RNAcentral lists this ribosomal RNA (460 nucleotides) under uncultured bacterium. RNAcentral describes it as "partial 16S ribosomal RNA". It matches the Rfam family "Bacterial small subunit ribosomal RNA", at positions 338 to 795 of the family's 1533-position model. The record is from RNAcentral.
CCUACGGGGAGCAGCAGUGAGGAAUAUUGGUCAAUGGGCGCGAGCCUGAACCAGCCAAGUCGCGUGAGGGAGGACGGCCCUACGGGUUGUAAACCUCUUUUGCCGGGGAGCAACGGGCGCCACGUGUGGCGUCACUGAGAGUACCCGGAGAAAAAGCAUCGGCUAACUCCGUGCCAGCAGCCGCGGUAAUACGGAGGAUUCGAGCGUUAGCCGGAUUUAGUGGGUUUGAAGGGUUCGUAGGCGGAUCGUUACGUCAGUGGUCAAAUUGAGGGGCUCAACCCCUUCCCGCCAUUGAAACUGGCGUUCUUGAGUGGAAGAGAAGUAUGCGGAAUGCGUGGUGUAGCGGUGAAAUGCAUAGAUAUCACGCAGAACCCCGAUUGCGAAGGCAGCAUGCCGGCUUCCGACUGACGCUGAAGCACGAAAGCGUGGGGAUCGAACAGGAUUAGAUACCCGUGUUGUC